GUGAACGCUGGCGGUAGGCCUAACACAUGCAAGUCGCACGGCAGCACAGUAAGAGCUUGCUCUUACGGGUGGCGAGUGGCGGACGGGUGAGGAAUACAUCGGAAUCUACUUUUUCGUGGGGGAUAACGUAGGGAAACUUACGCUAAUACCGCAUACGACCUACGGGUGAAAGCAGGGGAUCUUCGGACCUUGCGCGAUUGAAUGAGCCGAUGUCGGAUUAGCUAGUUGGCGGGGUAAAGGCCCACCAAGGCGACGAUCCGUAGCUGGUCUGAGAGGAUGAUCAGCCACACUGGAACUGAGACACGGUCCAGACUCCUACGGGAGGCAGCAGUGGGGAAUAUUGGACAAUGGGCGCAAGCCUGAUCCAGCCAUACCGCGUGGGUGAAGAAGGCCUUCGGGUUGUAAAGCCCUUUUGUUGGGAAAGAAAAGCAGCAGGUUAAUACCCCGCUGUUCUGACGGUACCCAAAGGAUAAGCACCGGCUAACUUCGUG
This 491-nucleotide ribosomal RNA is filed under the name uncultured bacterium. Its description in RNAcentral is "partial 16S ribosomal RNA". It matches the Rfam family "Bacterial small subunit ribosomal RNA", at positions 29 to 507 of the family's 1533-position model. The record is from RNAcentral.